AUUUAUUUACCACCAAAUAGUAUCAAGUCUCUCUGGACAGCCCAUCCAGUAUUGGGGAGCCGGAAGAGGGUAGCGAUUGUCAGUCUUGAUUAGAAGGUUAUCGAAUUUCCAAAACAAUUUGUCCUUGAAGAACAUCGAUGUGAGAUGGAAUUCCACGCCACCUUCUUAUGUUGUGAGGAUAUCCAGGAUCCAACAUGCGGGAUGUUGCAUUAAAUCUCCAGAAUUUCUCACCCCUGAUCGUGAAACAUGGUUCUCAAACGGUUCGGAGGAGUAAAAUGCUAUUUAUUGACUUACCACUGAAAAGAAUAAUGUUAGCAUCGUCUUCUCUUUGUUUCCCGAGAGGGUACUUCUGUGACUAUGUUUACCUCGGCAUCUUUCUCUGUCGUGACGCGCUCCGUGGUAGUGGUAAUUGGCUCAUUUGCUGCAAAAUCAUCAUCUUCCACAUGUUGAGAAACUAAAAUUGAUACAUACAGUUAAUUUCUAAAUGUACGACAACUGUAUCUGGCGGUAUGGCGAAGUAUGUACGCGCAACAUCUGAUCGUAAGACUGUCUUUGAAAGAGUGGAUUUGCCAACACAACAUGCCGAUGUAUUAGAGAUGCAUUGCAAAAGUGGCCUUAUUCUCCACUGUUCGUCGUCAUCAAAAUGAAGAUCUCCCGCGUAAGACCCCAUCUCGUUGGGGAAGAAGGCAUGGGCCAGGACAUUUCCAGGACCGUCAAAGGCAUACCUUGAUCAUUCGAACAAUAAACAUGACGGAUUUUCGUUACAAGAUCCAAGAUCCGACGACGUAUCGCUUCCUUCGAGUGUUCACUUUUCUAUCAACAUCAGGAAUACCGCAUCGUGGUGAUUUCAUCAACUUGAAACGAAAAGCAAUAAUUAUGUGGCGCAG
RNAcentral lists this long non-coding RNA (887 nucleotides) under Neodiprion lecontei (redheaded pine sawfly). RNAcentral's name for it is "uncharacterized LOC124294449, transcript variant X1". Lineage: Eukaryota; Metazoa; Arthropoda; Insecta; Hymenoptera; Diprionidae. The record is from RNAcentral.